This 450-nucleotide ribosomal RNA is filed under the name Clavibacter nebraskensis. RNAcentral describes it as "bacterial SSU rRNA". It matches the Rfam family "Bacterial small subunit ribosomal RNA", at positions 9 to 457 of the family's 1533-position model. The record is from RNAcentral. RNAcentral also lists the same sequence under 1 other name. Lineage: Bacteria; Bacillati; Actinomycetota; Actinomycetes; Micrococcales; Microbacteriaceae.
GAGUUUGAUCCUGGCUCAGGACGAACGCUGGCGGCGUGCUUAACACAUGCAAGUCGAACGGUGAUGUCAGAGCUUGCUCUGGCGGAUCAGUGGCGAACGGGUGAGUAACACGUGAGUAACCUGCCCCCGACUCUGGGAUAACUGCUAGAAAUGGUAGCUAAUACCGGAUAUGACGACUGGCCGCAUGGUCUGGUCGUGGAAAGAAUUUCGGUUGGGGAUGGACUCGCGGCCUAUCAGGUUGUUGGUGAGGUAAUGGCUCACCAAGCCUACGACGGGUAGCCGGCCUGAGAGGGUGACCGGCCACACUGGGACUGAGACACGGCCCAGACUCCUACGGGAGGCAGCAGUGGGGAAUAUUGCACAAUGGGCGCAAGCCUGAUGCAGCAACGCCGCGUGAGGGAUGACGGCCUUCGGGUUGUAAACCUCUUUUAGUAGGGAAGAAGCGAAAGU